GCUCCCCAAUUUCUGCACUAAAUUCGUACUUUCUAAUUGGGUUGUAAACUCUCAAAGCAUCUGCACUGGGCUUGCUUCGGUUUGCUUCUCCUCCCUGCUCCCCUCCCAGCCUUGCCUGUUCCCUGUCUGCUCUGUGUCCUGGGAUGCAGGGCUCUGGAGCCUGGAGCAGUGGGCUCCCAUGAUGUCUAGUUUCCAGCUGGGUUCACUCCAUGGGAUAGUGUGUGGAAGACAGGAGGGGAGGGAGUCUGGGUACCCACCUCCCCAGCCCUUCCUUUCGGAUUCCCUGUAGGUCAUGUACUUCCUCUUCCUAAAGGUCCUGGCUUCUGUCCAGGGAGCUCUCAUUGCCACUACCCUCUUGGCUUCCUGUAAUUACUUCUUCACUUUUAGGAAUCGUCCCCUGAUGUUGCUGGCCACAGGAUUCUGAAUUAGCCUGCACUGAUUUCCUAAAUCCUAUCUGCGCCUUUGCCUCAGGAAAGAUUUAGGAUCUGUGUGUUCAAUUGAAUUGCUAUUGUUUGAACUUUAAAAACCAGAGCUGACCUUUGGAGAAGAGGAGAAGGGUAGCUUUGUGUCUUUCUUCAGUGCAAGACUCAACUGAGUUUUAAAAGUCACAGCUGCUGGACCAAAUUGAAGAUGGUUUCAUCCCCAAGGGCGAUAGCCCCGGAAAGCUCAGAGCAGGGAACCCAUCCAAAGGUCACCGAUGAAGACCUGCCCAAUCUUACUGGCCCUCCGGUGGCCUCUACUCAAUCUGCCCCCUGCCCCAGCCAGCACUGCAGGGCUUCCUGACGAUGGUAGGACUGUUAAGAAGCUGAGAGCCACAGUAAAAAGCCACAAGGAUGUCCCAAGUUACAUUUCCAACCUUGUCACCUGCUUCCUUCACAAACCCACUUUUCUGGGCAGAAAAGUGCACCCUGCCAGCAGAACACGCCUGGUUCCUUCCUCCCUCCAAACUUCCGCCCACGCUCGCCUCUGUAGCCUCUGUAGCCAGAUGUGCUCCUCUUCAUAUCUUUUUUUUUUCUUAAGAAAGUUUCUUGCUCUGUUGCUCAGGCUGGAGUACAGUGGCAUGAUCAUGGCUCACUGCCACCUUGACCUCCUGGGCUCAGGCGAUCCUCCCUCUUCAGUCUCCAGAGUAGCUGGGACCACAGGUGCACACCACCAUGCCCAACUAAUUAAAAAAAAUUUUUUUUUUGUAGAGACGAGCUCUCACCAUGUUUCCCAGACUGGUCUAGAAUGCCUGGGCUCAAGCGAUCCUCCCUCCUCAGCCUCCCAAAGUGGUGGUAUUACAGGCGCGAUACCUAAUUCAAGCGUUAAAUAACAUUAAAGAAUAAUUUGGAGGCUCCCUCCCAGCCUCCAGAUCUUCACCAGCCGUCAAAAUUAAGCUCAACUUCUGUCUCCUCCAAGAAUUUUCCACAGGAUUCCAAUCUGGAGGGAUCAGUGUCCUCUAAGUGUAGCCUUUAUUGACUCUUCCACCAUUUGGUCUCCUAUAUUACCAUCAGGAAAAAUUAGUGAAAGACUUUCAAAUGGACAAAAAAGAGCAAAUGUCACUGAAUGUCCAGCCUAGAGCACUCUUCCAGUUUAUCACUGCCUUCCAUUGCCUUUGAGCCAUUUACAACUCUAUAAGUCAUAGAGAACUGAUAAUAGUGCAAAUGACUUGAGUUCAUAGAAAUGCAAAUUCCUUGUGUCCCGUGGAAUGUACUCGAUGGUUGCCCUGUGGAUAAACUUCCUCUGCAAGUUCAUUUCAGCCUCCUGUUGACUUACAUGUGUGUGGUUCUUGGAAUUCUCCUUUUAACCAGUUAGAACAUCUUAACUACUUCCCAUUAAUUAAUGAGUUAAAUAAAAUCUUUAUAUUUUAA
Molecule: long non-coding RNA, 1850 nt
Organism: Gorilla gorilla gorilla (western lowland gorilla)
Lineage: Eukaryota; Metazoa; Chordata; Mammalia; Primates; Hominidae
Exons: 4
Source: RefSeq, a predicted model, not a curated record